This 253-nucleotide ribosomal RNA is filed under the name uncultured prokaryote. RNAcentral's name for it is "partial 16S ribosomal RNA". It matches the Rfam family "Bacterial small subunit ribosomal RNA", at positions 524 to 776 of the family's 1533-position model. The record is from RNAcentral.
UACGUAGGUGGCAAGCGUUAUCCGGAUUUACUGGGUGUAAAGGGCGUGUAGGCGGGACUGCAAGUCAGGCGUGAAACCCAUGGGCUCAACCCAUGGCCUGCGCUUGAAACUGUGGUUCUUGAGUGAUGGAGAGGCAGGCGGAAUUCCGUGUGUAGCGGUGAAAUGCGUAGAUAUACGGAGGAACACCAGUGGCGAAGGCGGCCUGCUGGACAUUAACUGACGCUGAGGCGCGAAAGCGUGGGGAGCAAACAGG